UCAAAGCUCGAUCUCCAUCUCAAAGCCCGACUGGAUCUCGAUCUCCAUCUCAAAGCUCGAUCUCGAUCUCGAUCUCGAUCCAUCGCAGUAAGAACUCCAAGCCGCAAAUUGAGCACUUCUUCAAGCUCUUCUGAUUGCCUUCUCAUCCGUCAACAAUUGCAGGAUGACAAAGAAAGGGAAACAAAUUGCAUCUCAUUCAAGAUCAUAUGUUGUGUGGAAUCGUGAUAUGGACGCAGCUUUAGCCAAUGUGUUGUAUGAUCAAAUGAACCAAGGAUUAAAAGUCGAUGGUACUUGGAAGCCUCAAGUGUAUCAAGUUGCGGUUGAUGCAUUAAAAUCAUUUAAUAGCAACUUGAACAAAGAUAACGUGAAAAAUCGACUCAAAAUUUGGAAAACCCAUUAUAAUGUUAUCUAUGACAUUAAAAAUAAAAGUGGUUUGACGUGGUGGGAUGAUGAGAAGAAAAUGGUGAUUAUACCCGCUAGUGAGCAAAAAGUAUGGAACGACUAUGUUACGGCUAAUCCAGAUGCAAAAGGCUACCAGAAUCGUUUGAUU
This is a long non-coding RNA of Asparagus officinalis (garden asparagus), 550 nucleotides long. RefSeq lists it as uncharacterized. The transcript is spliced from 4 exons. Lineage: Eukaryota; Viridiplantae; Streptophyta; Magnoliopsida; Asparagales; Asparagaceae. The record is from RefSeq and is a predicted model, not a curated record.